GACGAACGCUGGCGGCGUGCUUAACACAUGCAAGUCGAACGAGUUCGGAGGGCAGAAGACAGAGGUCAGAGGUAGGAAUUAAAAGAAGAAAUCGGCGUAGCCGAUUUGAACAAAAAUUCCGAUUUCCGACUUCCGACUUCUGACUUCUGAUACUAGUGGCGGACGGGUGAGUAACGCGUGGGCAACCUACCCAUAAGAGGGGGAUAACAGUUGGAAACGACUGCUAAUACCGCAUAAACUGUUAAGAUUGCAUGAACUUAACAGAAAAGAUGGCCGAUAGACAAAGCUAUCACUUAUGGAUGGGCCCGCGUCUGAUUAGCUAGUUGGUGGGGUAGAAGCCUACCAAGGCAACGAUCAGUAGCCGGCCUGAGAGGGUGGACGGCCACACUGGGACUGAGAUACGGCCCAGACUCCUACGGGAGGCAGCAGUGGGGAAUAUUGCGCAAAUGGGGGAAACCCUGACGCAGCGACGCCGCGUGAGCGAAGAAGGCCUUAGGGUCGUAAAGCUCUGUUA
RNAcentral lists this ribosomal RNA (514 nucleotides) under uncultured bacterium. RNAcentral describes it as "bacterial SSU rRNA". It matches the Rfam family "Bacterial small subunit ribosomal RNA", at positions 28 to 438 of the family's 1533-position model. The record is from RNAcentral.